Molecule: small nucleolar RNA, 126 nt
Organism: Schistocerca nitens (vagrant locust)
Lineage: Eukaryota; Metazoa; Arthropoda; Insecta; Orthoptera; Acrididae
Product: small nucleolar RNA SNORA23
Exons: 1
Source: RefSeq, a predicted model, not a curated record
UGAAACUUGUGUGUGUGUGUGUGUGUGUGUGUGUGUGUGUGUGUGUGUGUGUGUCCCACACACACACACACACACACACACACACACACACACACAAAAAUUGAUUUCAGACCACUGGGAACAUAA